RNAcentral lists this transfer RNA (61 nucleotides) under Siphonaria gigas (giant false limpet). RNAcentral's name for it is "tRNA-Ser". The record is from RNAcentral. Lineage: Eukaryota; Metazoa; Mollusca; Gastropoda; Siphonariida; Siphonariidae.
AAAGAGAUAUUAAUUGAAGCUGCUAACUUUAAUUUGGGGAGUUAUUAUUCUCCGCUCUUUU